RNAcentral lists this transfer RNA (77 nucleotides) under Sphingomonadales bacterium. RNAcentral describes it as "tRNA-Arg". It matches the Rfam family "tRNA". From Rfam's summary of the family: Transfer RNA (tRNA) molecules are approximately 80 nucleotides in length. Their secondary structure includes four short double-helical elements and three loops (D, anti-codon, and T loops). The record is from RNAcentral. Lineage: Bacteria; Pseudomonadati; Pseudomonadota; Alphaproteobacteria; Sphingomonadales.
GCGUCCGUAGCUCAGUUGGAUAGAGCACGAGACUUCUAAUCUUGAGGCCGGUGGUUCGAAUCCACCCGGGCGCACCA